AUGCUUGGCUCCACGGACGCCCCCGCCGAGCCGAAGCGUGCACGCCAUGCAGACGGCGGCGGCGGUGAUGCCGGCGAUGACCGGCUGAGCGCCCUGCCGGACGACCUCCUCCGCACCAUCCUGUCGCGCCUCAUGGCCCAGCAGACGGUGCAGACGUGCAUGCUCUCCACGCGGUGGCGGCACCUCUGGCGCGCCGUUAAGCACCAAUUGAUUCAUCUACGCUGGAUCGAGCACGACGUUAAGCACCAAUUGGGCAUUCUUGGCGCGCUGUCUAAUGUGACAACCUUGCACUUGUUGCAUUUUGCGGUCACGUUGUUGUUCAAUGAGAGUCAUGAGAAUCCUCCUCUAUUCAAGUUUGAGAACCUGACAACAUUGUUCCUAGAUGAGUGCCGAAUCAGCAACGACUUCCUCGGGCUGCAGCAAUACCUAGAGAACUCAUGUAACCUGCAGAAGCUCACUUUGCGCCAUUGCAAGGUCUUGGAUUUCCAUCCUACAAAUGAGGUGAUGGAACGCUGCCAGUCAUAUUCCAAGGACCUGCCACAUUUCAGGUGCAAGAACCUUAGGCUGUGUGAAAUCAUAUACCGAGACGGCGAUGCUUCUGUCCAUCUAUUGGUCAAGUUUUUUGUGGGCAUGUGGAGAAAUCUGCCAAACAACAAGAUCGAACUUACUCCUGUCAAGGAGGAGAAACAAAAGAGUGGCCGAACUCAAUGA
This 711-nucleotide ribosomal RNA is filed under the name Triticum aestivum (bread wheat). Its description in RNAcentral is "partial small subunit ribosomal RNA". The record is from RNAcentral. Lineage: Eukaryota; Viridiplantae; Streptophyta; Magnoliopsida; Poales; Poaceae.